AUCCUUUUGCAGUUCAUAAGUGUGAUGAUUGGGUUUUCAUGCUCAUGUGUAAGAUGUGCUUCCCUCAAACCUUGCUAUAAUGUCAGCACAGUAUCUAUCUGACA
RNAcentral lists this small nucleolar RNA (104 nucleotides) under Callithrix jacchus (white-tufted-ear marmoset). RNAcentral describes it as "Small nucleolar RNA U13 (ENSCJAG00000084860.1)". It matches the Rfam family "Small nucleolar RNA U13". RNAcentral also lists the same sequence under 3 other names. Lineage: Eukaryota; Metazoa; Chordata; Mammalia; Primates; Cebidae. The record is from Rfam by way of RNAcentral.